UUAAAUUGCUGUGGUAUUUUGACUAUACAGAGUUUUUUAAAUAAAAAUUUAAUUGAAUGCUAAAGAGAAUGGACUCUCAGAGAAAAACUUUUUUUAAAUUAAAAAUUGAAAUUUUUUUAAUUUGUGCAGAAACAAUUAUUAAUAUUAAGGACAAGAAGACCCUAUGAAUUUAUUAAAUUUCAUUCAAUAUGUAAUUACUAUUGAAGAAAUUUUGGCUGGGGCGGCUAAAAAAUAUUUUAAACUUUUUAAAAAUAAAAUGAUCCAUUAUUAAUGAUUAUAUGUUAAAUACUCUAGGGAUAACAGCGUUAUAUUUUUUGAUAGACCAUAUUGACAAAAAAGUUUGCGACCUCGAUGUUGGAUUAGGAUACUUUUUUAAUGCAGAUAUUAAAAAAAGAAGUUUGUUCAACUUUCAAUUUCCUACAUGAUCUGAGUUCAGACCGG
RNAcentral lists this ribosomal RNA (441 nucleotides) under Rhipicephalus turanicus. RNAcentral describes it as "partial 16S ribosomal RNA". The stretch from base 296 to 441 matches the Rfam family "Archaeal large subunit ribosomal RNA", at positions 2542 to 2688 of the family's 2987-position model. Lineage: Eukaryota; Metazoa; Arthropoda; Arachnida; Ixodida; Ixodidae. The record is from RNAcentral.